RNAcentral lists this long non-coding RNA (2546 nucleotides) under Citrus maxima (pomelo). RNAcentral's name for it is "long non-coding RNA (CMAX_LNC002175)". The record is from RNAcentral. Lineage: Eukaryota; Viridiplantae; Streptophyta; Magnoliopsida; Sapindales; Rutaceae.
UCAUAUGCUCAUCAUCCAAAAUCAUUUCUUGGAAGCCUUCAAAGUCUUAAACUAGGAUGUCAAACUCAAACCAACACAAAACAAGAAUGUCAAACUCAAAUCAACCGCAAACCAUAGAAAUCAAUAAUCGGGCUAAUAUUUAAGUUAAAUUAGUUCAAUUAAAAAGAAUAGCUAACAAGCUCCUAGCUUUCUGGAUCCACCCGGCUGGUCUUAAAACCAUUCAUUUUUGGGCUCCAACAUUCAAAUGGGGCAUCAACAUAGCAAACAUUGCAGACUUUUCAAACUACAAUAUAAAAAAUUAGAACCUUUUUAGUGUCAAUUUUGCAAUGGCUAGGACGGGCUUGUAUCAACUAUCACGCAAAAUCAAGCAAGAUUACUUCUCCGAGAGCACCGAGAUAGAGGCAACUGCAAUGCAAGAAUCAUGAUGCAAAUUUCCUAAAGCCUAAACUAGUAUCAUUUUCCCUUUUUCUUUUUGCUAUUGUCAAAAACUGAAUGCAUUUCAAAAAUGUUAUCUUCAUUUGCUGUUGGAUUGGUUGGUGCGAGUUGUAUAACAACGCCAAAUUGAUUGUAAUUAAAAUUAAAAAGAAUAUGAUUACCUUAAAUAAAAAAGAAAAAAAGGAAAAAGGAAAAGUCUAACCUUUAAGAAUAGUCCCAAAUAUAAUGAAAAAAGAUUUAUGCCUUUGGUACUUUCUUCUCCCGUUGCAAUUCACAGUGUUGACACAUUUUUUUCCCUGAAAAAGUACUGCAAGUUAGUAGAUUUAUCACUAAUCAUAUUUAAUAGGAAACGUUGACAGCUUGAAUUUAAGAUUUUCUUUAAUUUAAUUUGGAAUGCUAUGAACAAAACAUAAUUAGACAUGUCAAUGCACCACAAAUCAAAUUUUCAAGUCAUUUGGACAACUCUACAUUUGCUUCUCACAUGAUAAAACUAUAUAAGUUAAAAUUGCAUAUGAAACUGUAAAAGUAGCAGCAUGUGUUUGAAUAUAUAUUAAAUUUAAAAUACUAAAUAUAUCAGAACGAUACUUUCCAGAUUUUAAGUGGACAUAUAAUUCAACAACAUAUUAAAAUUUGAGGCUAUUCCGAUAUCAUUAGGCUGGUGUUUGAUAGGAUCAAACAUUAAUGAACAGUUUUGUCAAAAUUGCAUAUGAAACUAUAAAAGUAGCAGCAGAUGUUUGAAUAUAUAUUAAAUUUAAAAUACUAAAUAUAUCAGAAUGAUACUUUCCAGAUUUUAAGUGGACAUAUAAGUCAACAACAUAUUAAAAUUUGAGGCUAUUCUGAUAUCAUUAGGCUGGUGUUUGAUAGGAUCAAAGAUUAAUGAACAGUUCUGUCAAAAUUGCAUAUGAAACUGUAAAAGUAGCAGCAAGUGUUUGAAUAUAUAUUAAAUUUAAAAUACUAAAUAUAUCACAAUGAUACUUUCCAGAUUUUAAGUGGACAUAUAAGUCAACAACAUAUUAAAAUUUGAGGCUAUUCCGAUAUCAUUAGGCUGGUGUUUGAUAGGAUCAAAGAUUAAUGAACAGUUCUGUCAAAAAAAGUUACUGCAGAGACAACAGAGUUUGAAAAAUCAUUAAAAAUAAAUUACAAGUUCAAUGAAAAUAAAAUUUUCCAGAUUCGAAGUAUGCAAAUAGAAGUGUAGUUUAUCCAAAUUUCAGCUUAUUCUAACUCUAUUAGACUAUACGUUUGCAAUAUCAAACAUGGUACAUAUGUAAUUUCUAAUAAAAUUGGACAACAACCAACCAUAUUGAGAAAUCCAUUCAAACUCAAAUAUAAACCCAAUUCAUUCCAGAAUUUCCAGAAUUAAAAUGUUCUCAUUUAAACUUAGUUUAAUCAAACUUUCAAAUCAAUUGAAAGUCAUUUAGUCAAGUUCGGAAACAACCAAGUUCACAACAACAGUCUAUCAAUCCUCAAAUUUUCAGCAUAAUUUCGUGAGGGAGAAUGGAGAUUUUUACUUAGGAAAAUUUUAGGUUUGGGUUUUCAUACACACCAUUAAACGAAAUAUAUAAUACAUACUAAACCCAUGAUUGUCGAUUGCCAUUAUUCUUUUAAUUAACAAAUUGCAUUCAACCUAAAUCCAUAAUCACCGAUUGUAAUCAUUCUUUCACUUAAUAAACUGAAUUCCACCUAUAAUAAAGCUGCGUUUUAUUUAUUUUAUUAAACAAUAAAUUAGAUUAUAAGCAACAAAAACCCUAGAUGGCUAGAUUUCCAAACAAGUGCAAGCUCUCAUUUGCACUCAAUAAACAUCAAUCAAUUAACAGAUAAAUACUUAAACAAUGAGAAUAGAGAAUGAGACAAAGAGUUACCACAACACUGAUUCGGACUUUCAAACCUUAGCUUUGCCCAAAUUCUUCACAGCACUUUCUGGGUUCUUUUCAAGGAUAUUUUAGCUUAAGGACGACGGGUUUCAAGGUGUUGACAGAGGCGGCUUUCAAGGGAGAUCGUUGUUAGAGAGAGAAAGAGAGCGAGAGAGAGGGAAGGAGAGAGAAGGAAGAAAGCUUCAGCGGCCGUGAGAUAGAUUUUUGACUUAACAAAAAUUUUUAGGUUUUAGGUUUCAC